This 498-nucleotide long non-coding RNA is filed under the name Mus pahari (shrew mouse). Its description in RNAcentral is "lncRNA (MGP_PahariEiJ_G0003380.1)". Lineage: Eukaryota; Metazoa; Chordata; Mammalia; Rodentia; Muridae. The record is from RNAcentral.
CACGUAGUUCUCCACCGGGAGGUCAUCUUUCUGGUCAUCAGAACUCCUUGUGUCCUGGUUGUGAGAACACCAAAUAGUAACGCACACCAAGAGUGCCCUGUGUCCUGGAUGCCAGGUCAGGCACUCUCCCUGGGACAUCUGAUUGGAUCCUUACGUCGAGUCUCUAAGCUCAGGGGACAGCAACACUCACAGGCACAGCCCUCCCUGUUAUCCCUGGACCCCAUCUCAGUGACCUCAUGAAAAGCCAAGACCAAAGCCCAGAGUCACAGACACUCUGGACUCACAGCCUCACAGUGGUCAGUGCUUGGAUUAGAGGCUUCCAGGCGUCAGGGCAGAGCCCAUUCCUGCCCAGCCAUGGCGCCCACCUGGGUGGCCAGGCCUCUCCUUCCUGGGCCCUCCUCACCCCUUCUACUCACAUGGCUGCCUGAGGGAUUCGCGUUGGCACGAGCAGGCUGUGUCUCCACACCGGCGAGUUUCUUCCCCCCAUUGCCCUGCCAG